Molecule: ribosomal RNA, 492 nt
Filed under: uncultured bacterium
Lineage: Bacteria
Description: partial 16S ribosomal RNA
Rfam family: Bacterial small subunit ribosomal RNA
Source: RNAcentral
AGUGAACGCUGGCGGUAGGCCUAACACAUGCAAGUCGAACGGCAGCACAGUAAGAGCUUGCUCUUACGGGUGGCGAGUGGCGGACGGGUGAGGAAUACAUCGGAAUCUACUUUUUCGUGGGGGAUAACGUAGGGAAACUUACGCUAAUACCGCAUACGACCUACGGGUGAAAGCAGGGGAUCUUCGGACCUUGCGCGAAUGAAUGAGCCGAUGUCGGAUUAGAUAGUUGGCGGGGUAAAGGCCCACCAAGGCGACGAUCCGUAGCCGGUCUGAGUGGAUGAUCAGCCACACUGGAACUGAGACACGGUCCAGACUCCUAAGGGAGGCAGCAGUGGGGAAUGUUGGACAAUGGGCGCAAGCCUGAUCCAGCGAUACCGAGUGGGUGAAGAAGGCCUUCGGGUUGUAAAGCCCUUUUGUUGGGAAAGAAAAGCAGCAGGUUAAUACCACGCUGUUCUGACGGUACCCAAAGAAUAAGCACCGGCUAACUUCGUG